RNAcentral lists this non-coding RNA (31 nucleotides) under Rattus norvegicus (Norway rat). Lineage: Eukaryota; Metazoa; Chordata; Mammalia; Rodentia; Muridae. The record is from RNAcentral.
UGCUAACCAGUCAGUUACUCUCUCUUCAGCC